GCUUGCAUGGCCGAGUGGUCUAAGGCGGUAGCUUCAGGUGCUAUUCUUCGGGCGCAGGUUCGAACCCUGCUGCAAGUA
Non-coding RNA from Cylindrotheca closterium, 78 nucleotides. NCBI's taxonomy places the organism in Eukaryota, Bacillariophyta, Bacillariophyceae, Bacillariales, Bacillariaceae. The record is from the annotation of a GenBank genome assembly.